RNAcentral lists this transfer RNA (72 nucleotides) under Capra hircus (goat). It matches the Rfam family "tRNA". From Rfam's summary of the family: Transfer RNA (tRNA) molecules are approximately 80 nucleotides in length. Their secondary structure includes four short double-helical elements and three loops (D, anti-codon, and T loops). RNAcentral also lists the same sequence under 1 other name. Lineage: Eukaryota; Metazoa; Chordata; Mammalia; Artiodactyla; Bovidae. The record is from Rfam by way of RNAcentral.
UCCCUGGUAGUUCAGAUGGUAAAGAAUGUGCCUGCGAAGCAGGAGACCCAGGUUCAAUCCCUGGGUGGGGAA